CUGUACAAGUGACUGCCUUGCC
This 22-nucleotide microRNA is filed under the name Gadus morhua (Atlantic cod). RNAcentral's name for it is "gmo-let-7j-3p". Its record names the gene gmo-let-7j-3p. The record is from miRBase by way of RNAcentral. Lineage: Eukaryota; Metazoa; Chordata; Actinopteri; Gadiformes; Gadidae.